This 73-nucleotide transfer RNA is filed under the name Mus musculus (house mouse). RNAcentral describes it as "tRNA-Ser". The record is from RNAcentral. Lineage: Eukaryota; Metazoa; Chordata; Mammalia; Rodentia; Muridae.
GGAGAGAUGGCUCAGUGGUUAAGAGCACUGACUGCUCUUCCAGAGGUCCUGAAUUCAAUUCCCAGCAACCACA